RNAcentral lists this ribosomal RNA (253 nucleotides) under uncultured bacterium. RNAcentral describes it as "partial 16S ribosomal RNA". It matches the Rfam family "Bacterial small subunit ribosomal RNA", at positions 524 to 776 of the family's 1533-position model. The record is from RNAcentral.
UACGUAGGGGCCGAGCGUUGUCCGGAGUUAUUGGGCGUAAAGCGCGCGCAGGCGGCUUCGCGCGCCCGACGUGAAAGCCCCCGGCUUAACCGGGGAGAGUCGUUGGGGACGGCGGAGCUUGAGGGCGGGAGAGGUCGGUGGAAUUCCCGGUGUAGUGGUGAAAUGCGUAGAGAUCGGGAGGAACACCCGUGGCGAAGGCGGCCAUCUGGACCAGCACUGACGCUGAGGCACGAAAGCGUGGGGAGCAAACAGG